UUUAACCCACAAUCUUCAACCUCCUAUUUAUUACCGGAACGCUGCUUUAUAAAGAUAUAUCACUGGUUCACUUUCAUUAUGGUUUCCGAGCUUGUUUACGUCUGGGAUUGCCUCAAGGACUUGGGCUGCGAUAGAGGGCGGUAGUGAGGCGGUCAGACUCGUUUGGUGAGGUGAGGCGAGGCUACACUGGGAAGACCUUCAGGUAGUACAGGGAAAUUACAGGGUGAAGGUACAGCACAGCGCAGGUGUGCAGGGGUUUCUCAAGAACCUCCACUAGUUUCACAUUCCUGCUGACACUAAGCCCGGUGGAUCAAGCAAUGCAGAUAAGAGCGAGAAAAUGAGCCACAAGCCACACCAUUCCCAGAGGCGCCACCGUCCCUAGCGAGGCCUGACCUUGCUGGCUCAUCUGUGCAGUGUUGUGAAUUGCUGCAUCCGGAUGUGAUGAUCUACGGAACACGAGAUCAAGGUGGACGUUUCUCAAGUCAUCGUGGAGCGGCCAAGGAACACUCCCAUGCUUCUUAUCAAUCCUCAAUGGGGCCUGCACGGAAGGUCUGGCAGGCGGCGUGUUUGCAAGGGCGUCAUUCUAAAAAUCUUGCCUGCGCUACUGCUGCCUGGCUGACCAACUAAGCCUCCGUAAGGGAACGAGGGUACAAGACUAAAGGAAAGAUGAAUAGUGGUAAAAAUGUGUACCGGCUGCUAUAGGUUAGGAAUAUUAAAAAAAAGGUCUACAAUGUUUCCAGUAAUUGAGUGUUUAAAAUCUACGUUGCUAUUCCCUUGCAAAAAAAUACAACUACUUUUUUUUUUUUUUUCUCUCUCUCUCUCUCUCUAAGGAUAAUAGAAUAAUUUUAGUCAGCCAUUAAAAAUUCCACGUGUACAUUCUCUUCCAAUAAAAUGUCUCCAGUAAUUGAUGGCG
Molecule: long non-coding RNA, 913 nt
Organism: Scylla paramamosain (green mud crab)
Lineage: Eukaryota; Metazoa; Arthropoda; Malacostraca; Decapoda; Portunidae
Exons: 4
Source: RefSeq, a predicted model, not a curated record